This 468-nucleotide ribosomal RNA is filed under the name uncultured bacterium. RNAcentral describes it as "partial 16S ribosomal RNA". It matches the Rfam family "Bacterial small subunit ribosomal RNA", at positions 28 to 507 of the family's 1533-position model. The record is from RNAcentral.
GACGAACGCUGGCGGCGUGCUUAACACAUGCAAGUCGAACGGAAAGGCCCUGCUUUUGUGGGGUGCUCGAGUGGCGAACGGGUGAGUAACACGUGAGUAACCUGCCCUUGACUUUGGGAUAACUUCAGGAAACUGGGGCUAAUACCGGAUAGGAGCUCCUGCUGCAUGGUGGGGGUUGGAAAGUUUCGGCGGUUGGGGAUGGACUCGCGGCUUAUCAGCUUGUUGGUGGGGUAGUGGCUUACCAAGGCUUUGACGGGUAGCCGGCCUGAGAGGGUGACCGGCCAAAUUGGGACUGAGAUACGGCCCAGACUCCUACGGGAGGCAGCAGUGGGGAAUAUUGCACAAUGGGCGGAAGCCUGAUGCAGCACAGCCGCGUGCGGGAUGACGGCCUUCGGGUUGUAAACCGCUUUCGCCUGUGACGAAGCGUGAGUGACGGUAAUGGGUAAAGAAGCACCGGCUAACUACGUG